AAAAAAUAUAAAUUAUAUAUUGUCUACUUCGUUGCCAAUAAUAUAACUACAGUACUUAAAGGUACAAAUGCGAUAUUAAAAUAUAUUUCUCCAGAAGAGAAUUAUAUAGUUUUUAAUGGGUAACAAAUCAAUGUGAUACAUAUGAGAAAGAAAAUCACAAAAUAUCUUCAAACUUCUCAUGGCUAACAAUUUUCAUCAUGAAAUUACCUGUCCCUGAAAUAAAAAAUAAAGCGAAGUUUCAAUUCUAACUUGUUAAAAUGCAAGAAAUGAUUUGAGAAAUCUUAAUGUUGUUUUGUAAAAGAGAUGACAACAAUAUCUUUGAAUUAAAAUACUAUGAAAUACAUUAAAGAUUUCAGAAUGCACAAACUAGUUUGCCUCUUGUGGUAAUCUCCCUCAAUACUCAUCUUACAAAUGGGGAUAAAAACAUACUUAUCAGACUGACUCUUUCAAAAUGAUAAGACUUUUAAUUUCUCAAAUGAUGAAUUACAUUAAGAAAGCUUAGGAACUUUGACUCAAUAAAAGUUCUGCCCUUUUCUGUUUUUCAGGAAAUGAACUUCUUUUUUAACUACUCUUAGUUAAACCAAAAUAGACUAAAAGGACAAUGAAACUAACAAAAAGAUCUGGCCAGUAAAAAAGAAAGAUCUCAAUUCAGCUAACACCACCAAACUUAUUCAUGCUAGGCAUUCCUAACACAUUUUUUCUUAAGGAUUUACUUAAGAAUUAUCUAAGACACUCAUGAGAUCAUUUACUUAAAUUCCACUUCAUUUUAUCCAUUAUGUGGUCCUAAAAUUCUGUUACUCAAAAUUUUCAAAAAAAUUUGCUAGAGUUUCCUUUGUAAAUAGGCCUAUCAAAAACCUGUCAGCUAACCAGAAUACAUAUAAAUACGCUUCACAGAGCGUUACAACAAUGGAUAUUGUUAUGCCGUAUUGAUACAAAACUAUGUGUUUAUCAACAGAUUCCAACCAAUACAAUAACAACAAGAUGAACAACAAGGUGCUAGUGAAUCGAAAUAGGUCUCACACGGAUUCACUAGACUUUGAAUUUAUGUGUUUGAACAAGAAAAUUAGAUGAAAGACAACGUAACAAUACUAGUGAAUCGAAAUAGGUCUCACACGGAUUCACUAGACUUUGAGUUUGUGUUUUGAAUAAGAAAAUGAGAUAAUAACAAGGCAACAAUGCAGUGAAUCGAAAGAGUCCCACACGGCUUCACUAGACUAUAGAUUCAAUAAUACAAUGUUAAAACGAUAAAAAUUGCUCAACAAAGUACUUACACAAAUCUCUUUUGCCACUUCAUUAACAUGUGAUCCAUCUUCUUUGGUAUUGAGUUAUUUACAUUGAAACGAGAUAAAACUCAGUGGUGCAAUAAACUUGACAAGGCUACCAAAAUUUGUGUAUAUAUUAUUAUUCUAUGCAAAUUGAUUGCAGAACUGAGAAAAAUUUCUUAAACCAAAUAUGAAUCUGCUUUACUUUUACAAUCUGUGCAAACGAAAAUUAUAUGUUUAUCAAAGGAUAAGAAGCCCUUCCACACCCCUCCAACCUCAACCAAAAAUGAAGUUCUGGUUUGCUCAUUCCAGACUAAACCAAUAGCAGCAAACCAGAUGUGAAGAACUGAGAAUUAUCCUUGUAGCUAAGCCUUCUCUAGGUAAGCUAUUUUCAAUGAAGAACCAAGGUGAAAGCCGUUUUUCAAUGAAAUUAGUAAUGUAGCCAACUAAGUAAAACCCAUAUGCCAAAAUGAACAAAACAACAUUAAAACAACAUCUAAAUCACAAAAAGUUCACAACUUUCAAGAAUACCUGCUGAAAAAAUAUAGAAAUAAGAAGACUUUAAUGGUGUGAUUAGACCUUAGUAUGCUAUUUUUUUUUUCUGGUCAGUUACUAAAUCAGUGCACAGUAAAAAAUAACUAAAUCCGACAUGCUAAAAUGAACUAGAUAUCAUUAAAACAAGACCCAACAAAUCACAUAAAGUUCAAAGCCAAAACUAAGCAAAAUCCAUAUGAAAAAAUGAACAAAACAACACUAAAACAACAUCCAAAUCUCAUUAACUUAAUGUUGAAAAUAUAGAAACAAAAAUACUUUGAUGGUGAGAUUAAGCCUUAACAUGCUAAAACUAAGUAAUCCUCAACAACACCCAAAUCAAAUAAAGUUCACAACUUCAACAAUACUUACUAAAAAAUAUAGAAACGGCAAAACUUUAAUGGUGUGGUUAGGCUUUAAUAUGCCAAAACUAAGCAAACCCCAAAUGCAAAAAUGAAUCAAACAACACCCAAAUCACAUAAAGGGAUGCAAACGAACACAACUCCUAAGCUCGGGAAAUGUAAGCGCAGGCAUAGCUUGCUGAAGGUCAGAAAGAAAAAGGUAUACAUUAUAAUUCAUUCAAACCCAAGAUACCAUCAGUGUCUAGUGAACACUAGGCUCUUGUUUCAUUGCAACAUAUGUGAAGAUAAUUUGAUUUGGUUACAGGACUUGUGCAACAGAAUCUGUAUAAGCGAGUUGUAUUAGCAAGAAUUAACGUUUGCCUACCCGACCUAUCGUUUUCCUACCAACUUCAACCUAUCGUGACUAUCUCAAAAUCAAUGAAAAUAAAAUCCACACAAUAUGAAUUUAACACACCAAAAUAUCAACCAAUUAAAAUUAAUUGAGAGUGAGAUAAGAAAUGGACCUCAAUUUAUUUCAAAUCCAACUUGUUCGACAUCGCCAUCGGAAUCUCGUACAAACAUUAACCAAACGAACAAAUUCAACUUCAAUCUAAUGCCUUUUGCAUUUCCUCGCCAAAAUGGAACCAAGAAUUACAAACUGAAAAUACCAGAACCCAUUCCGUGUCGUUUUUCGAUAGAUUUUCGAUGAGUAGUCGCCGAAAAGUGAACGGAAUGACUGUUCUUGUUGAAUAUUGGCUGAGUUUUUUUAGGGGAUUUGGAGUGCAUUGAAGCUGAUUUCGAUCGGGUUUUGGGGAAGAGCAUUUUUGGCAAUGGUUCGAUCAAAAAAACGUGGGGAAGGGGGAUGGUGGCAUUUCUCGGCAGUGGAUGACCCCUUCCGGGGAGAUUCAAGCGAAGACCUGCUGGUCUCCAACCCCUCUCUCUCUCCUUCUCCGAUCUCCCCCUCUCGUUGUUAUCUCUGUACCUCUCUUUUUCUCAAUUUCUCUCUCAAAUCUCCAUUUAUCCACUUUUUAAUCCUGGAUGUAGAUGAAAUGGAUAGAUUAUAUGAG
RNAcentral lists this long non-coding RNA (3201 nucleotides) under Capsicum annuum. RNAcentral's name for it is "long non-coding RNA (CANN_LNC010257)". The record is from RNAcentral. Lineage: Eukaryota; Viridiplantae; Streptophyta; Magnoliopsida; Solanales; Solanaceae.